This is a long non-coding RNA of Oncorhynchus keta (chum salmon), 1864 nucleotides long. RefSeq lists it as uncharacterized. The record is from RefSeq and is a predicted model, not a curated record. Lineage: Eukaryota; Metazoa; Chordata; Actinopteri; Salmoniformes; Salmonidae. The transcript is spliced from 4 exons.
CUGGGCUCUGUUGGGACCUGCUCUGUAAACAGGACCUCGCCUCGUACAGCAGAAUACCCCCAGAACACACACACACAAACCCCACUUGCACACACAAACAACCCACAAAACACCACAUGGACUAACACGCAACCAAAUAAGCCACAUAAUAACCCAAACUACCUCCAAAAACCUCAACCAACCAUAGCUAACCAAAUAAACCACGCUGGAGCCAAAGAAACCACAGAAAACUAAACAACCCAUAGACAGGCACUGAACAAACAGACAGACCCAAACUAAUAGCUUCACCAAACAGUACUAGUAUAUUAUCAACACAUGAAUAUCAAUACUAGACUGUAACAUAGCCUACUACUCAACAGGGCAUCAACCAACAUUUUAGGUAACAGUCACUAUAUAGUAUACCAUGGGUGCUGAGUGACCAGUGACCACUGGAUCUCUUGAGGGGUGAACACACACUGUCCUGGGCAGGGGAGGGGCAGUCACUGGGGAAGAGAGGAGAACGCUCCCCUACUACCCUCCAGGGGUGGUCCGUCUCUCUUCAGCCAGGCAGGCCUCAAGGGCCAGUGCCAGGGCCUCUGGUCCUCAACCUCAGGUCUAAGCUGCUUGUUUAUCCAGAAGUCAAUCUACUGCUACUGAUGUAGUGAAUCAUCACAUAGAGAGGUGCUGUUACUCUAACUUCAGUGAACCCUGCUGUAAUCCCUAAUAAUAGCAUUGUAACUGGUCUAGUAAAUCAUUACAUAGAGGUGCUGUUACUCUAACUUUAGUAAACCCUGCUGUAAUCCCUAAUAAUGUCAUUGUAACUGGUGUAGUGAAUCAUAACAUAGAGGUUCUGUUACUCUAACUUCAGUGAACCCUGCUGUAAUCCCUAAUAAUAGCAUUGUAACUGGUCUAGUAAAUCAUUACAUAGAGGUGCUGUUACUCUAAUUUUAGUAAACCCUGCUGUAAUCCCUAAUAAUAGCAUUGUAACUGGUGUAGUGAAUCAUUACAUAGAGGUUCUGUUACUCUAACUUUAGUAAACCCUGCUGUAGUCCCUAAUAAUAGCAUUGUAACUGGUGUAGUGAAUCAUUACAUAGAGGUGCUGUUACUCUAACUUUAGUGAACCCUGCUGUAAUCCCUAAUAAUAGCAUUGUAACUGGUCUAGUAAAUCAUUACAUAGAGGUGCUGUUACUCUAAUUUUAGUAAACCCUGCUGUAAUCCCUAAUAAUAGCAUUGUAACUGGUCUAGUAAAUCAUUACAUAGAGGUGCUGUUACUCUAAUUUUAGUAAACCCUGCUGUAAUCCCUAAUAAUAGCAUUGUAACUGGUCUAGUAAAUCAUUACAUAGAGGUGCUGUUACUCUAACUUUAGUAAACCCUGCUGUAAUCCCUAAUAAUAGCAUUGUAACUGGUGUAGUGAAUCAUUACAUAGAGGUUCUGUUACUCUAACUUUAGUAAACCCUGCUGUAGUCCCUAAUAAUAGCAUUGUAACUGGUGUAGUGAAUCAUUACAUAGAGGUGCUGUUACUCUAACUUUAGUAAACCCUGCUGUAGUCCCUAAUAAUAGCAUUGUAACUGGUGUAGUGAAUCAUUACAUAGAGAGGUGCUGUUACUCUAACUUUAGUAAACCCUGCUGUAAUCCCUAAUAAUGCCAUUGUAACUGGUGUAGUGAAUCAUUACAUAGAGAGGUGCUGUUACUCUAACUUUAGUAAACCCUGCUGUAGUCCCUAAUAAUAGCAUUGUAACUGGUCUAGUGAAUCAUUACAUAGAGAGAGAGGUGCUGUUACUCUAACUUUAGUAAACCCUGCUGUAAACCCUAAUAAUAGCAUUGUAACUGGUAGAUGUGUCUACUAUACAGAGCUGGACUUCUAUUCCCUGAAGACUGUUCUUAG